RNAcentral lists this ribosomal RNA (1334 nucleotides) under uncultured bacterium. RNAcentral's name for it is "bacterial SSU rRNA". It matches the Rfam family "Bacterial small subunit ribosomal RNA", at positions 28 to 1397 of the family's 1533-position model. The record is from RNAcentral.
GAUGAACGUUGGCGGCGUGCCUAACACAUGCAAGUCGAACGGAUACCUUCGGGUAUUAGUGGCGCACGGGUGAGUAACACGUGGUUGACCUACCCCAAAGUAAGGGAUAACGGUCCGAAAGGACUGCUAAUACCUUAUAAGCCCCCGAGGUUUAGAAGCUCGGGUGAAAAGUUCAGGCGCUUUGGGAGGGGACUGCGAGCCAUCAGCUGGUUGGUGUGGUAACGGCGCACCAAGGCAACGACGGCUAGGGGGCCUGAGAGGGUGACCCCCCACACUGGAACUGAGACACGGUCCAGACUCCUACGGGAGGCAGCAGUGAGGAAUAUUGCACAAUGGGCGCAAGCCUGAUGCAGCGACGCCGCGUGAGUGAUGAAGGCCUUCGGGUCGUAAAGCUCUUUUCUAGGUGACGAGGAAGGACGGUAGCCUAGGAAUAAGUGUCGGCUAACUACGUGCCAGCAGCCGCGGUAAAACGUAGGACACAAACGUUAUCCGGAGUUACUGGGCGUAAAGGGCGCGCAGGCGGAUUGGUAAGUCUACUCUGAAAGCUCCUGGCUAAACUGGGAGAGGCGAGUGGAGACUGUCAGUCUAGAGUGAGGAAGAGGAAAGUGGAAUUCCGCGUGUAGUGGUGAAAUGCGUAGAGAUGCGGAGGAACACCAGUGGCGAAAGCGGCUUUCUGGUCCCUUAACUGACGCUGAGGCGCGAAAGCAUGGGGAGCGAACGGGAUUAGAAACCCCGGUAGUCCAUGCCGUAAACGAUGUUCACUAAACGUUCGUUACCCGCGAGGGAAGCGGGUGUUGAAGCCAACGCAGUAAGUGAACCGCCUGGGGAGUACGGUCGCAAGGCUAAAACUCAAAGGAAUUGACGGGGGACCGCACAAGCAGCGGAGCGUGUGGUUUAAUUCGAGGCUACACGAAGAACCUUACCUGGGUUUGACAUCAUGUUGAAGUCGCCAUGAAAGUGGUGAUGCCCCGCAAGGGGCAAUAUGACAGGUGCUGCAUGGCUGUCGUCAGCUCGUGCCGUGAGGUGUUCGGUUAAGUCCGCAAACGAGCGCAACCCUCGGUGCCAGUUACAAGUGUCUGGCGCGACUGCCCGUGGCAAACGGGAGGAAGGUGGGGAUGACGUCAAGUCAGCAUGGCCUUUAUAUCCAGGGCUACACACACGCUACAAUGGCGUAUACAAUGGGUCGCGAAGCCGCGAGGCGGAGCCAAUCCUACAAAGUACGUCUCAGUUCAGAUUGCAGGCUGCAACCCGCCUGCAUGAAGUUGGAGUUGCUAGUAACCGCGCGUCAGCAGAGUGCGGUGAAUACGUUCCCGGUCCUUGUACACACCGCCCGU